RNAcentral lists this ribosomal RNA (261 nucleotides) under uncultured archaeon. RNAcentral describes it as "partial 16S ribosomal RNA". It matches the Rfam family "Archaeal small subunit ribosomal RNA", at positions 748 to 1008 of the family's 1478-position model. The record is from RNAcentral.
CAGCCGUAAACUAUGCGCGUUAGGUGUAUCGGUGACCACGAGUUACCGAGGUGCCGAAGGGAAACCGCGAAACGUGCCGCCUGGGAAGUACGGUCGCAAGGCUGAAACUUAAAGGAAUUGGCGGGGGAGCACAACAACGGGUGGAGCCUGCGGUUUAAUUGGACUCAACGCCGGACAACUCACCGGGAACGACAGCAAUAUGUAGGCCAGGCUGAAGACCUUGCCUGAAUCGCUGAGAGGUGGUGCAUGGCGUGUGACUGU